CAAAUAGUACAUCUUGUUUCCAAAAGCUGUUUUUUUGGCAGCUGGAAGAAGACACCUGGAGGCAGACACAGAAGGAAGAGCGAGCAAAAGAGCUUCCAGUUUGGGACUGGGCACAAAAUAAAAAUGACUUCUUGCCUGCUGGGAAGCUGGGUACAACCAUGUGAUGGAGUUUCACUCUUGUUGCCCAGGUUGGAGUGCAAUGGCGCAAUCUCGGCUCACCACAACCUCCGCCCCCCAGGUUCAAGCGAUUCUCCUGCCUCAGCCUCCCCAGUAGCUGGGAUUACAGGCAUGUGUCACCAUGCCCAGCUAAUUUUUGUAUUUUUAGUAGAGACGGGGUUUCUCCAUGUUGGUCAGGCUGGUCUCGAACUCCUGACCUCAGGUGAUCCGCCUACCUCGGCCUCCCAAAGUGCUGGGAUUACAGGUGUGAGCCACCGUGCCCGGCCAGCAUAAUAUUCUUAAGGUUAACCCACACUGUAGCAUUUAUACAAAUGGCCAAUAAAGGCAUGAAAAAAUGCUGAACAUCAUGAGGCAUUAGGGAAAUGCAAAUCAAAACCACAGUGAGGUAGUACUUCAUAUCCACUAGGAAGGCCAUAAAAAAAGAAAGAGAAAAUUAACAAGUGUUAGUGAGGAUGUAGAGAAGUUAGAACUCUCAUACGUUGCUGGUGGGAACAUAAAAUGAUGCAGCCACUGUGGAAAAACCUCAGCUGCUCCUCAAAAAGUUAAAUAAAAUAUUGACAUAUAACCCAGCAAUUCCACUGUUAGGUAUAUACUCACAAGAACCGAAAACAGGUCCUCAAACAAAUACGUGUACACGAAUGUUCAUAGCAACACUACCCACAGCAGCCAAAAGGAGGAAAUAACCCAAAUGUCCAUCAACUGAUUGAUAAACAAAAUGCGGUAUAGACAUACAGUGGAAUAUUAUUCAGCCCUAAAAAGAAAUAAAGUUCUGAUACAUCUACAAAAUAAAAUUUUUAUGUACCUUGAAAACAUUACACUAAGUGAAUGAAGACACUAAGGGAAUGUGCUAAGGGAUAGAAGAUGGGGUAAAGAAGCUAUGUGGUCCCUCCUAGAAGCUGGGUGGGUGCCAUAGAGAGGGGAGAGAGUAGAACUCAUAUUCCAUUCACCCAUACUUCACCCAUCCUGCCUCAGUGCCCAUGUGAUACCCACCUGAUGCACUCCCUGCUGCCCAGCAUUACAGGCAGGCCAGCCAGCCUAGAUGGCCAGAAAUAGGAAGUCCUCUUACUGAAACAAUUUCUCACUUCUUAUUUCUUUGAAGUAAGUGUAAAAUGUACAGAGUCAACCACUAGGCAAAAAAUGGAGGGAAAAGAAGCAAAACCACACCUGUGUUGAUUUCCCAAUUUUUUUAUCGUGGUAAUAUACACGUGACAUAGAAAUGACCAUCUUAACCAUUUUCAAGUAUGUAAUUCAGUGGAAUUAACUACCGUAUAUUCAUAAUGUCAUCAGCACCAUCCAUCUCCAGAACUUCCCAUCAAGUAACACUGAAACUCUAUACCCAUUUUUUAAAACUCUCCAUUCUCCCCUCCUGCUAGCCCCUGGGAAUCAGCAUUCUGUCUCUAUGAAUUUAACUACCUGAGAUGCCUCACAUAAGUGGAAUUAUAUAGUAUUUGUCUUUUGGGGAUGGGCUUGUUUCACUUAGAAUAAUGUCUUCAAGGUUCAUCCCUGUCAUAUUUCAGAACUAACUUCCUUUUUAAGCAUAUGUCAGAAUUUCCUUCCUUUUUAUGGAUGAAUAAUAUUCCUCUAGAUAUUGUUUAUCCAUACACCCAUCAAUGGACACUCGGGGUACCUCCACAUUGCAGCUACCAUAAAUAAUGUCACUAUGAACAUGGAUGUACAAAUAUCUAUCUGUGACUCUGCUUUCAAUUUUUUUGUAUAUAUACCCAGAAGUAGAAUUAGGUUAUUACUUGAUAUGUGUUUUCAUUCAGUUAGAAGAGGAAUUCAAUAAUGUAACCAACUUCUAUUGAGUAUCUAAUAGGUACCAGGUACUGGGCCAGAAAAUAGCUAUAAAGUGUUAUGUAUUUAUGAAUUAAAAUGAAGACUGCAGUUAGGCUUAAAAGGGAGGAAGAGAAAUUGAAUUGUGUUUCUUCAGCAGACAUAAUUAAAUCCCAAAGCUCUGAGCAUCGAUUAGACACUAGAAAUAAAAUCUGAUUAUCCCAGAGACUCAUUUUCAUAUACUUUUAUGAGUUGCCUAUAUGGCUGUGAAUUAGCCAUCAACCAAAAUGGAUUUGUUUUUACCCAGUAACAAACAAACCUUGAACCCAUUUACAAGUUUGUUACGAAGAGGCAGCCAGAGCUUUUGUUUAAUUGGCAAUAUAAUCAUGUACAUUAUUAAUGAUAAGUUUAUUUUCUUCCUAAUGCAGAAGUUAGGCCAUUAACACUGCAGCAAGUUACAAAUGUACACUAAGAGAGCCUGACCAAGUCAGCCACUUGCUCCGUGGUCCAACAUUACAGAGAAAUAUUUUUCCAAGACUUGUGCGAGGUUUUAUACUCCCAGAGAGGAACUUGCAACAGACUUCGGCGAGAACUGCAGCUACUAUGGCCAUCUCAACUCUAAGAAAAAGGCUUCCAAAAUUGUAAUGCAAUACAUGAUACACUAACAAAUUGAAAUUCAGGGCCCAGUCAUUCUCACAGAGUCAGAAAGAAAUCUUCAACAGAAAUCAGACAAAAGUAACUUGAAAAGUUCUCUCUGCCAUUGUUUCCUAUCAUAUACUUCCAAGCCACGCCACCUUCAUUUUCACCUUAGUACCACAAGGGUGUCUCCAGUUUCUUUCCAAGCAACAUUUUGAAAGGCAGUCUGAUCACAUCACUCCCUACUUAAAACCCCUUCCAAGCUUUCUACUGCCCUCAGGAAAAAGUCUGACCUUCACUCAGUUUCUAAGGCCCUAUAUGAUUUCAGUUCUUACAGUGAGCUGAGUGCCCCACUUCCAAACCUUCACACUUAUUCUUCCUUCUGUCUUCACCUUUUCUUCUCCCGGCUCACUCCCACUCAUUCUUCAGACCCAGCUUAAAGGGCCCUUCGUCGGAGAGGUCUGUUCUGGGCCCUACACUAGAUCUCUCAUCUGGAGAACCCAGAUGAGACUUAUGUGUUUUGCUCAUUGCUGCAGCUCCAGCACCAGAGAAGGCCUGGCAUGCAGAAGACACUACUGGUUAAAUCAAUGAAUCAUCUUCUACCAUAAUAUAUUCUAAUGAGAACUGAGGCUGUUGUUCUCAUAUAUUAGGAGCCCAAUGAAGGGUAAGUCUAUUGGACUCAUAUAAAUAAUGUAGUCUUCCUGAAUACUAUCUACAGGAGGGCUUCCUAAUCAUUUUUGUGCUAUGGACCCAUCUGACUGUCCAAUGAAGACUAUGAACCCCUACUUAGAACACUAUUUAUAAAUGCAUAAAAUAAAAUACAUAGAAAAAUACAUCUAAAGAAACAUUUAAAGAAAUACUUAGGGGAGGAGCCAAGAUGGCCGAAUAGGAACAGCUCUGGUCUACAGCUCCCAGCGUGAGCGACGCAGAAGACGGG
RNAcentral lists this long non-coding RNA (3523 nucleotides) under Homo sapiens (human). RNAcentral's name for it is "HSALNT0377264". Lineage: Eukaryota; Metazoa; Chordata; Mammalia; Primates; Hominidae. The record is from RNAcentral.